UACAGAGGUCUCAAGCGUUGUUCGGAUUCAUUGGGCGUAAAGGGUGCGUAGGCGGCGCGGUAAGUCGGGUGUGAAAUCUCGGGGCUUAACCCUGGGCUUGCAGUGGAUACGGGCAGACUAGAGGCAGGUAGGGGAGAAUGGAAUUCCCGGUGUAGCGGUGAAAUGCGCAGAUAUCGGGAGGAACACCGGUGGCGAAGGCGGUUCUCUGGGCCUGACCUGACGCUGAGGAGCGAAAGCGUGGGGAGCGAACAGG
This 253-nucleotide ribosomal RNA is filed under the name uncultured bacterium. Its description in RNAcentral is "partial 16S ribosomal RNA". It matches the Rfam family "Bacterial small subunit ribosomal RNA", at positions 524 to 776 of the family's 1533-position model. The record is from RNAcentral.